This 6833-nucleotide long non-coding RNA is filed under the name Sus scrofa (pig). RNAcentral's name for it is "lncRNA (ENSSSCG00065016655.1)". Lineage: Eukaryota; Metazoa; Chordata; Mammalia; Artiodactyla; Suidae. The record is from RNAcentral.
UGAACCCAGAUCACCCUGGGAAAGGGAGCAGGGUGACACAGUGUGAACGAAUAACAGAGCACUUCCUGAGAUGAAAAAGAAGAUGGAAAAGGAGAUGGAGUCUCAAGAGACUUUCAUGGCCAUAAACCCCGACUCCUGAGCUAAGGUUUGAGCCCUUGCCUAUCUCUGUCAGAUUUGGGGACUGUUGAACUUUGUUUUUUCCAUACAUUGUGGAGUACUUUGCAAUUGGAAAAAAGAAUGGGACAAUCUCGAAGUAUUUAUACGGCAAGCUCUCCAAGACCAGGUACAUGAUAAAAGCAAAGUGCAGCACAGUGAAUAGAAAAGUGCUCUUCAAACUCAAAUCCUCCAGCUGAGGACAGAGAGCAUUUGCAAAGCCCACUUCAUUGGCUUUCUCCUAGCUCUCCCUGAAGCUGGGGGUAUGGUGUGUGUGUGUGUGUGUGUGUGUGUGUGUGUGUGUGUGUGUGUGUGUGCGCGCGCGCGCGCUCUUCUUACAGUAAGGGACAAGGACCUGUAGACCUCCUACGGGGACAAGUGCUACCCAGAAGGCAUUUUCCAAAAUCCCAUUAGAAUGGCCUAGGGGAGUCACGUUGCUGUAACUUUGCAGAAAGCCUGUUGCGCUGGAUUCUAAUAUCAAUUCUGUCCUCAGCAGCCCAGAAGACCUUUCUCCUUCCUCCCACCAAAUACAAUUGUAAUUUGUAUGUUCAUUUUUUACAAUGCUUUUUCUGCCACUAGAUUGUGAGCCUUAGGAGACCAUGAUUGAUCUAUUUGCCCACCACUCAAUCUCUAGUACUUGUCAUAGUGCCUGGCAUGUAGUAGGUUCUUAAUAAAUAUCUACUGAAUGAAUGACUAAAUGACUACAUGGGUGAUGGACAUGAAGAACUGAGCAUAGUGCCCAGGCCUGGUGUCAUUUUCAAUUACAGGUGGUAGAAGUUUACUUAAUGUUGGGAUGGGGUGAUUACUAGUUGUAUGACUUUAGGCAGAUUGAUAAAAUUUCCAAGCCUUGGUUUUCUCAUCUGAAUUAUGGAUGCAGUAAUACCUAUUCCCAGGUGUUGUUGUGGGUAAUUUUUUUUUUUUCUUUUUUAUGGUCACACCUGUGGCAUAUGGAAGUUCUUGAGCUAGGGGGUUUGAAUUGGAGCUGCAGUUGAGGCCUACGCCACAGGCACCGCAACACCAGAUCUGAGCUGUAUCUGUAAAUUGUGCCACAGCUUGCAGCACUCUGUAAGCCACUGAGUGAGGCCAAGGAUCGAACCUGCAUCCUUACAGAGACAACAUCAGGUCCUUAACCUGCUGAGCCACAACGGGAACUCCUGGUUGUUGGGUACUGAUGAGAUAACACAGACAAAUCCCUCAGUGUAUGGUUUGGCACAUAAACAGUAAGUAGAGGUUAUUACUAGAGGGAAAUAGCAUAAAAGAAAUAACCCGAAGAAUCAAGUAAAUAAAUCCCUUGAUUGAUGUUGAGGUGCAAAAAUUGCACAAAGAGACUCUCUGCACCUUCUCCUGUCCUCAGAAGUAGGGCAGCCAUCCAUUCUUCAGGAAGUGCUGGUUGAACAGAUACUACAUGCUGGGCACCAUGCCAGCAGCAAAAAAUGAGUAAUUAAUGAGUAUGAAUUUCUUUCUGGGGUGAUGAAAACGUUCUAGAGCUGAUUGUGGUUACACACAGCUCUGUGAAUAUACUAAAAUCCAUUGACUUGGACACUUGAUGUGGGUGAAUGUAUUGAAUGGCGUAUGAAUUAUAUCUCAAUAAAGCUAUUAAAAAAGAAAAGAGAAGUUCCCACCAUGGCUCUGCGGAAACGAAUCUGGCUAGUAUCCAUGAGGACACAGGUUCAAUCCCUGGCCUUGCUCAGUGCCAGGAUCCGCCGUUGCUGUGAGCUGUGGUGUAGGUCGCAGAUGUGGCUUGUAUCCCACAUCGCUGGGGCUGUGUGUAGGCCAGCGGCUACAGCUCCAGUUUGACCCCUAGCCUGGGAACCUGCCGUGGGUGUGGCCCUAAAAAGACCAAAAAAAGAAAGAAAGAGUAGACCUGAGUCUACUCCUUCCUACAUGGGCAAGUCACUGCGCCUCUCUGCUUCAGUAUUCUCCUCUGGAAAAUGGGAAUAAUGAUCAAACCUACCUCAGAGGAUUUUUGGUGAUGAUUAAAAGGAAUAAUGUUUGUAAAGUGUUAACUUAGAGCUUGGUUUGUAACAAAAUCUCCAUUAAAGUUAGCUAACAGCAUCCUGUCAUCUUUAUUCAUAUGUAAAUGCUAAAAUAGAAACUACACAAAUGGGAUGGGCUCUUAGAGCUACUGGCUGGGAGGAGGAAGGAGUCAGGCGGGAGGUGAGGAGGAGGCGAGGACAUCAAGCUGGCUAAGAGUUUAUCCACGCAAAGGGUGUACAGGGCAGCCCUGGAAGAGGGAUCAGCAUGAGCAAGGGCAUGGAGGCCAGAAGCCACAGGAUUAAGGUAAGCAGUUACGAGCAGAUUAGCACAGACUGCAAGGCCAAUCCUUGAACUUUACUGUGAAUACAAUGGGAAGACCACCAGCAGGAAGCAACAUGGCAAGUCUAUGUACCAGAAUAGUCACUGUGGUGGUGGGAAGAUGGAUUCUGAUAGGUUCAGGACUCAAGUGGUAGAGGAGUUAGGAGACUACUGCAACAAUUCAAAUGAGAUGAUAAAGGCUUUAACUUGGACUCUGAAUCUAGAGUAUCAAGGCCAAGGCUCCUUAGAUCAUAAGGGACAGAGACUCACUUAUGACGUCAAGGAAAGGGUAUACAGCGGGAAACCCCAUAGACACCGUAGGGCAGGGAUCUGGAACUAGAAAACCAAGAGUCAAGGCAGUUAUCCUUCAUAAUUGUCUCUCUCAGCAUCUCUGUUCCUUGCACCUCUGGUCCAUUGUGUUUUCAACUAGGGCACUUCUUGUUGUUUGUGAUGGUAUCCCCUUUCCAAUAACUUCUCAUUGUUUGUCCUGAGAAGAAUCUCCACCCUGAUGCUACCUGAACUUCCACUUUUAGGACCCACAGCCAGCUGCCUUCUCCAUUCUCUGCCACUUGAUUCCAAUUUCUGAGACCUAAUCUGAGUGGCUCUGCUCAUCCUUUUGAUCUAGGUCAGGCAAGCAUAGGCCAAGGGUUUGUGGUAGCUGAGGGUGGAGCCAGUCCACAAUGUAAAGAAUUUGGUCAAUUGAGGUAGCAGAGUUCUGAUCAGGGAUUCUUCUUGCCAGCACCUGCAAUACGCUUCAUAUAGUAGGCCUGGGGGGAAGGAAUAGAUUUAAAAUUUAUUAGGCAAUAAAAUUAGCAUUAUUAGAUAAUUGUUUGAAUGUGGGAGGUGAGCUGGAGUGGAGGCCAGGAUGACAUCAGGGGUUGGCUUGGGUAACUAGGAGAUUUUUCAGCUCCUUUCCUCUGUGUGGGUGCCGUUCUCAGGUUCUCGGGAAGCUUCUCCCCUUGAUUCAGGUAGGGUCCCAGCAGAAAAUGCAUGGUUUUCCUACUCUGGGAAAUGUGAGACACAUUUACUAAGAGGCCCAUGGGACAGGGUAUAGGGUAACAGCCAAGGACCGUGUAGUACCCUGGGGCUAGAAACAGUGGUGUGCUGUCCUGAAGGGUAGGGGAAGGCACUUCUCAGAAUCCUGAGAGGGAUUCUCAGAAUCAAGAGAGCCUGACAGGAGCUGUGGCCUUUAGUAGUGGCUACAGCCAGCCUGUGGCAUCAGCCCAGUAAGGAAGCUGGGAGAGGAAACAUCCUGACCUGGCUCUUCUGCCUCCCUUCGGUAUCCUGCCCUGGCUCCCCAAGGGCUAACUCCAACAGGAAGACAGAGCAAGGAAGCCCACUGAUGCAUCCUAUAGCACCUCUCUGGGGCCAGGAGGGACAAAGAUAAGAUGUCCAAUCCACUCCUCAUGGUGGAUCUGGAAGGGACCACUGCUUCCUAAACCAACCCAAACCCAAAAACCUCCGCAAAAUUCAUAGCGAUUGUUCUACUUUGCCUUGGGUAGGUCAGGUGUCCAUGCCUGGACCAAUCACGUAGGGGGAGUAAAUAGCAUCACUUUCUGAUUGGCUAAGCCAGAAGCUGAGGGUGGAGUCAGCUCUGAUCCAGCCUCCCAGCUGAGGUGCAGGAAGGUAAACCCUCAAAGGAUACCAGAGUGUUGUCAACUGACCGGAUGAAAAGGACGGAUGAUCACCGAUGCCCAUGGCAGGACUCAUGGAGGACUUUUGAGCAGGGGUGGGAGGUAGGGGUUGCGGGUACGGAGUGUUGUUGUUCCUGUUGGACCUAUACGGGAAGAGAUUGUGAGCCCAGCAGUCAGAGCUGGAGCUGCGCCCCCUCCAGGCCUCAGUUUCCUAGCAAGGAGGAAUCUUUUAAUAUUCUGUGGCUCUAGCGCUUACCGGCCAGUCGUUAACCAACAAGUUUAGCCUCUCAUCAAGAGUGCAGACCCUUUGUCUCCAGUAAGGACCACCAAGCCUUGCUUUCUGAAAUCAUUCCUUUCAGGUAGACCUAGAAGAGACCUCUUCGGACCCACUUAAGUUUGCUGGAAGGUGCCACCUAGUGGAACAUCCGAUGACAUGCCGCUUAGGCCAAAGGAAACCUAGAAGGGUUUUAGAGCUUGAAAGUUAUGGAGGAGUAGUUUGCUUACACUUGGCUGCACCUAGGAAUGGCUGAGUCCUACCCCUAGAGGUUCUGACUUAAUUGGUCUAGGGUGCAGGGUGGGCCUCUAGAGUUUUAAAAGGUCCCAGGUGAUUCCAAAGUUAAGAGCAGCCGAAGUGAAGACCACUGGGUUAUAGUGUAUCCAAGUUUAUUUCACAGAAGUGCCCACAGAUGAUGUCAUUUCUCCAAGAGCCUUAAACUUCUAGGAAGCCCCUUGCCCCUGCACCCCACCACCUCUUUAUUUGUACUUUGUACAAUGUUCUUCCUUUAUGGAAAAUGAAAAGUAAUUGAACAGGAAUCACUCAUUUCCCAAACCCUGAUACACACACACACACACACACAAGCAUUUUAAUGGUAGAAACAGAAGGAGGAUGGCUUCCUCUACAUUUGACAUUUGAAUCUGACCCUUCUGACUAAUAGUCUGAAUUAUACCCACCCUGUGAUGUAGUAUAUUUGCUCUUUGAAAUGUACGACCUUCUCUGUUUGCUCUUUCAAAAUGUAUCCUACUUGAGGCACCUUCCACAGUCACUGUCUUGAUUCAAUAACAUUCCUUUAUGGUUGGCAGGAUUGGUUUAAUUGGCAUCUCAGUGUGGAAAUGACAAAGUAGACUCCAAGAGAGAAGCAAUUUUCUGUCUAGAGGUCAUUUUGAAUAGGCAUCCUGCAAACCCUUUCUUUUUAUUCAGACUCGGAGCUGAAAUGCCGCUACGUACACACACCGGACUGAACCACCAGAAUAGUGUUCCAUGUCUGACUGCCCUCCUCCCAUCCUACCUUGCAAGACUGAGUCCCAGAAUUUUAGAACUAAAAAAGACCUCAACAAGCAUCUGGUUUAACUACUUUAAUACGACCAUAUUCUUUUUUUAUCUAGACAUCUUUAAUUCUUGCUAAUGCAUACACUCUUGGAUCCAUUCAUGAUAAAUAUGAUGCUCAGAGAAUUUGAGUGGCCAGUCUGAAGCUGCACAGGAAGGUGGGAGCAAAGUCUGGACUGAUGCGGGCUCAUCAGAGCCAUGCAGGGAAAUUUCAGCUCCAGAACUUGUGUCCUUUUGCUUUAUAUUUAGAAUUGUGACCCUUGUUAAAUGACCAGCCUGGUAGACCCAGCAGUUUGGGUCAAAGACUCGAGUGUUAAUGAGUUUCUUGAGUGCAGAUUUUAAGGAGGUUGAUUAAUUAAUCGAUUCAUUCAUUCACUUCCCAAGUGUUUGUUGAGAACUUGUUGGGGGCCAGGUACUAUUCUAGGCAUUGAGGAUAUGCUGUACUAGGCAUUGAGCAAAACAAACAGAAACAACAUGAUCUCUGUCCUCAUGGGGCUAAUAGUCCAGUGGUGGAGACAUAGCAAACAAUCACCCUGUAAGCAGAAACACUCUGACUUAAGGAAAGCCAUUGCCAAGAGGUCGCAUAAUUACGGAGCUUAGUUUUUCUGAGAGUGUUUGACGAGCUCCAAGGAGAGGAGGAGCAAGAAGUCUUUAGGUUUGCCGCAUGCACAGACGUCCAACACCCAUAGCCUCUUGGAUUUUGCUUAGAGUCAAGCAGAGCUCUCUCUCUCACCAGCUUGGGAAUUAUGUCAUUACAGAGUCAUUAUUAUCUGCAUUUAGCUUAUGAGGAAAUUGAGGCUCAGAAUAGCUAAGGGGCUUGGCCAAGGUUAACGAUGUUAGAGGUUGACUGAUUAUCAGACCAACACCUCCUGACUUGCUGAUCUGUUCCACUUUCACACCCCUCAGUGCAGGCCUAGGCCAUACCAGCCUGAGGGUACAGACCUUGGCAAAUGGGAUCAGCCUUACUGUGAAAGCCAAGGUAAGGCCAUCUAGUAGGAAGGGCUCUCAUAUCCUCAUCAGGAAGUCUGAUGGCUUUCCUGUCCUGUUGCCUCUCUUCUAGCUGAGCCUUCUUGCGGAAGGCUGUCCUGGCGGGAUCCUGAAAGAUCUGCAGGUAACUGAUGACAAAAGGGACAACUGAAGAGUGAGUGAGAAAAUAAGCAGAUCAUUUAAAAAAGGAAAAGAGGAGGUCCCUUGUUGUGGCUCACUGGUUAACGAACCUGACUAGGAUCCAUGAGGAUGCAUGAGGGUUUGAUCCCUCACCUUGCUCAGUGAGUUAAGGAUCCGGCGUUGCUGUGAGCUGUGGUAUAGGUCGCCGAUGUGGCUCCGAUUCUGCAUGGCUGUGGCUGUGGUGUAUGCCAGCAGGUACAGCUCCAAUUUGACCCUUAACCUGGGAACUUCCNAAAAAAAAAAAAAAAAAAAAAAAAAAA